This 440-nucleotide ribosomal RNA is filed under the name uncultured bacterium. RNAcentral describes it as "partial 16S ribosomal RNA". It matches the Rfam family "Bacterial small subunit ribosomal RNA", at positions 338 to 795 of the family's 1533-position model. The record is from RNAcentral.
CCUACGGGUGGCAGCAGUAGGGAAUAUUGCUCAAUGGGGGAAACCCUGAAGCAGCAACGCCGCGUGGGGGAUGAAGGUUUUCGGAUUUGAAACUCCUUUUGUUAGAGAAGAUAAUGACGGUAUCUAACGAAUAAGCACCGUCUAACUCCGGGCCAGCAGCCGCGGUAAUACGGAGGGUGCAAGCGUUAUUCGGAAUCACUGGGCGUAAAGAGCGCGUAGGCGGGAUAGCAAGUCAGAUGUGAAAUCCUAUGGCUUAACCAUAGAACUGCAGUUGAAACUGUUAUUCUAGAGUAUGGGAGAGGUAGGUGGAAUGCUUGGUGUAGGGGUAAAAUGCGUAGAGAUCAAGAGGAAUACUCAUUGCGAAGGCGGCAUGCUAGAACACAACUGACGCUGAUGCGCGAAAGUGUGGGGAGCGAACAGGAUUAGAUACCCGAGUAGUC